UCCGAGUUGUAAUUUGCAGAGGGCGCUUUGGUGUUGGCAGCGGUCCAAGUUCCUUGGAACAGGACGUCACAGAGGGUGAGAAUCCCGUACGUGGUCGCUAGCCUCCGCCGUGUAAAGCCCCUUCGACGAGUCGAGUUGUUUGGGAAUGCAGCUCUAAAUGGGAGGUAAAUUUCUUCUAAAGCUAAAUACUGGCCAGAGACCGAUAGCGCACAAGUAGAGUGAUCGAAAGAUGAAAAGCACUUUGGAAAGAGAGUCAAAUAGCACGUGAAAUUGUUGAAAGGGAAGCGCUUGCAGCCAGACUUGCCUGUAGUUGCUCAUCCGGGCUUUUGCCCGGUGCACUCUUCUACAGGCAGGCCAGCAUCAGUUUGGGCGGUUGGAUAAAGGUCUCUAUCACGUACCUCUCUUCGGGGAGGCCUUAUAGGGGAGAUGUCAUGCAACCAGCCUGGACUGAGGUCCGCGCAUUUGCUAGGAUGCUGGCGUAAUGGCUGUAAGCGGCCCGUCUUGAAACACGGACCAAGGAGUCUAACAUCUAUGCGAGUGUUUGGGUGUCAAGCCCGAGCGCGUAAUGAAAGUGAACGGAGGUGGGAACCCUUUGGGUGCACCAUCGACCGAUCCUGAUGUCUUCGGAAGGAUUUGAGUAAGAGCAUGGCUGUUGGGACCCGAAAGAUGGUGAACUAUGCUUGAAUAGGGU
RNAcentral lists this ribosomal RNA (691 nucleotides) under Sphaerellopsis melampsorinearum. RNAcentral describes it as "Sphaerellopsis sp. PAGZ-2023a partial large subunit ribosomal RNA". It matches the Rfam family "Eukaryotic large subunit ribosomal RNA", at positions 137 to 847 of the family's 3401-position model. The record is from RNAcentral. Lineage: Eukaryota; Fungi; Ascomycota; Dothideomycetes; Pleosporales; Leptosphaeriaceae.